UCCUCCUCGCUGUUUCCCGCACUGUCCAUUGGAGAGGAGUCCUCUUCCCGCAUCGUCUCUUCCAAAACUUUGUAAUGGUCUGUCGGAGCGUAAUAACCCCUGACCCUAAUUCAGUGAACUGGAUACAACAUCAACAAACUCAACAGUCAGAUAAACAUGAUGGGACAUUCCGCCAGUUGUCGUGGAAACGCUGAGAAAGCACAGCUGGGCGGGAGAAUAUGAGACAGGCCAGAGUCAUGGCAGCCAGGUGGAUCGAGUGCAUGGAGUCUGGUCGUUUGUUCAGCGCCCGGACAAACUGGAAGUUGAGGAUCCCACCAAUCAGACCACAGAUACAGCAUGCCGAAAAUAGGAUCAUCUGAUGGACAGCGACAGAGAGAAUGGUUUAUGCCAAUGCAAACUGCGGAAUUGAUAUGUUAUAAACAAAACUGUAAACAAACUGACAAAAAGUGAUGAGAUGGGGGAUAUACAAGCUACUAUCGAGAUCCAUCUCCAUCAUUCUGCUGUUUUUGGACAACGGCUGCUUUGAUGAAUAUGA
Cottoperca gobio is the source of this 535-nucleotide long non-coding RNA. RefSeq lists it as uncharacterized. NCBI's taxonomy places the organism in Eukaryota, Metazoa, Chordata, Actinopteri, Perciformes, Bovichtidae. The transcript has 3 exons. The record is from RefSeq and is a predicted model, not a curated record.